This is an RNA transcript of Teleopsis dalmanni, 1919 nucleotides long. It is a transcript of the gene named matrix metalloproteinase-14, with no coding region annotated. The record is from RefSeq and is a predicted model, not a curated record. The transcript is spliced from 6 exons. Lineage: Eukaryota; Metazoa; Arthropoda; Insecta; Diptera; Diopsidae.
CAAGCACAUGGACAAAAGCGGUACAAGAUUUUCAAAGUUUUGCUGGCUUGAAUACUACAGGUGAUUUAGAUGAGGAAACACUACAAUUGAUGUCCUUACCACGUUGUGGUGUACGUGACAAAGUCGGCUUUGGCACUGAUAGUCGCUCCAAGCGUUAUGCAUUACAAGGCAGCCGUUGGCGUGUUAAGGCUUUGACUUACAAAAUCUCAAAAUACCCAAAACGUUUGAAACGCAACGAUGUUGAUGCAGAGAUUUCACGUGCCUUUAAUGUUUGGAGUGAAUUUACUGAUUUAUCUUUUACACAAAAAACAAGCGGACCAGUACAUAUUGAAAUUAAAUUUGUUGAGAGUGAACAUGGAGAUGGUGAUCCAUUUGAUGGUGUUGGUGGCACAUUGGCUCAUGCAUUCUUUCCCGUUUUUGGCGGUGAUGCACAUUUUGAUGAUGCUGAACUUUGGACAAUUGGUUCUCCAAGAGGCACAAAUCUAUUUCAAGUAGCAGCACAUGAAUUUGGCCAUUCAUUGGGUUUGUCGCAUUCAGAUGUACGUUCAGCAUUGAUGGCACCAUUUUAUCGUGGUUUUGAGCCAGUAUUUAAACUUGACUCCGAUGAUGUACUCGCUAUACAAGCACUGUAUGGACGUAAAACAGCUGGUCCUGGUAGUUUCCCAAGCACAACGCAAAGACCAUCAUUCGCACCACCAAAAAUACCUAGAGAUGAUCUCAUUUGCAAAGAUCCCAAAGUUGAUGCCUUGUUCAAUUCUGCAGAUGGUCAAACAUAUGCGUUUAAGGGUAAUAAAUAUUAUAAACUCACAGAAAACUCAGUUGCUGAAGGUUAUCCCAAAAAUAUUGCUGAUGGUUGGCCAGGUUUGCCAGGCGAUAUUGACGCAGCAUUCACAUACAAAAAUGGUAAAACAUAUUUCUUCAAGGGUACGAAAUACUGGCGUUAUAAUGGACGCACAAUAGAUGGUGAUUAUCCUAAAGAAAUUAGUGAUGGUUUCACAGGCAUACCUGAUCAUUUGGAUGCUGCGAUGGUUUGGGGCGGCAAUGGUAAAAUCUACUUCUUCAAAGGCAGCAAAUUCUGGCGUUUUGAUCCACUUAAAAAGCCACCAGUUAAAUCAAGUUAUCCCAAACCCAUUUCAAAUUGGGAAGGCUUGCCAAAUAAUUUAGACUCCGCUUUACAAUACACAAAUGGUUACACAUACUUCUUCAAAGGUGAUAAAUACUAUAGGUUUAACGACAGAACAUUUGCGGUUGAUACUGCUGAUCCACCAUUCCCACGCCCAUCAGGACAUUGGUGGUUCGGUUGCAAAAAUGUACCAACGACAACAGUCCCAAAUAUAGGCGGAAGAAAUUAUCCGGGCUGGAUGUGGAAUAUCGCGAAUUCGUUCUUUUAAAAAUUUUUAUUUAAUAUUUAAAUAUAAAUUUAUAAAAAUUCCUAUAGCAUAAAGUUCGUUAGAAUUUAACAAAAAAAUUAUUAUACAAACGUGCCGCUCUCAAAUCUUUACAUAAAUAUAUUAAAUAAGUUCAUUGUGUCGGUACGAAACCAGCCGUAAUCGUAUAGCCCCUAAAAAGAAUAUUGCGUGCAGCUGCUGCCUCAUGCGUGCAACACCCACCGUUAAAGGUAAACUCUCCCAGCGAGUCCAGUAUCUCUCUGGUGUGUUCUGUGCUUUAAAAUUUGUCCAAUCGUCCAAUGCUUUGUUUCGUGCUGUCGUUUAUAUAUGAAUUGUGUGUGUUGCAAGCUGACAUAAAUACCAAUGCCAACCCAACAUAAGUACCAAAAAGCCAAAGUCUGUCAUGAAUCUGCCAAAAAAACAGCGCCAAUUGCAAACCAAAAAAGUGCUGGCGAUCAUCAAUCCAAUGAGCCCUCCGAAUUCGACAAGUCAGGUCAGAGCAAAUCUGGUGCCCCAACACUACUCAAUAAC